Molecule: ribosomal RNA, 464 nt
Filed under: uncultured bacterium
Lineage: Bacteria
Description: partial 16S ribosomal RNA
Rfam family: Bacterial small subunit ribosomal RNA
Source: RNAcentral
GACGAACGCUGGCGGCGUGCUUAACACAUGCAAGUCGAACGGUAAGGCCUUUCGGGGUUGUACGACUGGCGAACGGGUGAGUAACACGUGAGCAACCUACCCUUGACUUCGGUUUAGCAGCUGGUAACAGCUCCUAAUACCGUAUAGGACCCUGGUCCCCCUUGCCUGGGGUGGAAAGGUCCGGGGGGCAGGGUUGGGCUCGCGGCCUGGCAGCUUGUUGGGUGGGUAAGGGGUUACCAAGGCUUCGACGGGUAGGCGGCCUGGGAGGGGGGACCGCCACACUGGGACUUAGAUAAGGCCCCGACUCCCAAGGGGGGGAGCAGGGGGGAAAAUUGGCCCAUGGGCGCGAGCCUGAUGCAGCAACGCCGCGGGGGGGAUGACGGGCUUCGGGUUGUAAACCGCUUUCAGUAGGGACGAAGCCACAAGUGACGGUAACUACAGAAGAAGGACCGGCUAACUACGUG